GACGAACGCUGGCGGCGUGCCUAAUACAUGCAAGUAGAACGCACAGUAUAUACCGUAGCUUGCUACACCAUAGACUGUGAGUUGCGAACGGGUGAGUAACGCGUAGGUAACCUGCCUGGUAGCGGGGGAUAACUAUUGGAAACGAUAGCUAAUACCGCAUAAUAUUGAUUAUUGCAUGAUAAUUGAUUGAAAGAUGCAACUGCAUCACUACCAGAUGGACCUGCGUUGUAUUAGCUAGUAGGUGAGGUAACGGCUCACCUAGGCGACGAUACAUAGCCGACCUGAGAGGGUGAUCGGCCACACUGGGACUGAGACACGGCCCAGACUCCUACGGGAGGCAGCAGUAGGGAAUCUUCGGCAAUGGACGAAAGUCUGACCGAGCAACGCCGCGUGAGUGAAGAAGGUUUUCGGAUCGUAAAGCUCUGUUGUAAGAGAAGAACGGGUGUGAGAGUGGAAAGUUCACACUGUGACGUAUCUACCA
Molecule: ribosomal RNA, 481 nt
Filed under: Streptococcus gordonii
Lineage: Bacteria; Bacillati; Bacillota; Bacilli; Lactobacillales; Streptococcaceae
Description: bacterial SSU rRNA
Rfam family: Bacterial small subunit ribosomal RNA
Source: RNAcentral